Molecule: non-coding RNA, 143 nt
Filed under: Nomascus leucogenys (northern white-cheeked gibbon)
Lineage: Eukaryota; Metazoa; Chordata; Mammalia; Primates; Hylobatidae
Source: Rfam by way of RNAcentral
GCUGGGCAUGGUGGCGCAUGCCUGUAGUCCCAGCUACUCAGGAGGCUGAGACAGGAGGAUUGCUUGACCCUGGGAAGGUUGCAGUGAGCCUAGAUGGUGCCACUGCACUCCAGCCUGGGCAACAGAGUGAGACCCUGUCUCCA